GGAGGGGUCGCAUAGUUGGUCUAGUGCAAAAGUUUACUAAACUUUCGACUCAGUAAUGGGUCCGCGAGUUCGAAUCUCGCCCCCUCCG
Molecule: transfer RNA, 88 nt
Filed under: Candidatus Amesiibacteriota bacterium
Lineage: Bacteria; Candidatus Amesiibacteriota
Description: Candidatus Amesbacteria bacterium tRNA-Ser
Rfam family: tRNA
About the family: Transfer RNA (tRNA) molecules are approximately 80 nucleotides in length. Their secondary structure includes four short double-helical elements and three loops (D, anti-codon, and T loops).
Source: RNAcentral